This 464-nucleotide ribosomal RNA is filed under the name uncultured bacterium. Its description in RNAcentral is "bacterial SSU rRNA". It matches the Rfam family "Bacterial small subunit ribosomal RNA", at positions 331 to 792 of the family's 1533-position model. The record is from RNAcentral.
CCAGACUCCUACGGGAGGCAGCAGUGAGGAAUAUUGGUCAAUGGGCGCGAGCCUGAACCAGCCAAGUCGCGUGAGGGAUGACGGUCCUACGGAUUGUAAACCUCUUUUGCCGGGGAGCAAGCGUGCGUUCGUGAACGCGCGUCGAGAGUACCCGGAGAAAAAGCAUCGGCUAACUCCGUGCCAGCAGCCGCGGUAAUACGGAGGAUGCGAGCGUUAUCCGGAUUUAUUGGGUUUAAAGGGUGCGCAGGCGGCCUGGAAAGGCGGCGGUCACAGCGCGGGGCUCAACCCCGCCCCGCCGUUGAAACUGGCAGUCUCGAGUUGGAGAGAAGUAUGCGGAAUGCGCGGUGUAGCGGUGAAAUGCAUAGAUAUCGCGCAGAACUCCGAUUGCGAAGGCAGCAUGCCGGCUCCACACUGACGCUGAGGCACGAAAGCGUGGGUAUCGAACAGGAUUAGAUACCCCUGUA